This is a non-coding RNA of Brachypodium distachyon (stiff brome), 125 nucleotides long. The record is from Rfam. Lineage: Eukaryota; Viridiplantae; Streptophyta; Magnoliopsida; Poales; Poaceae.
UUACUACUCCCUCCGUCCCAUAUUAAUUGUCGAAAUAUUGCAUGUAUCUAGACGCUUUUUAGGCCUAGAUACAUCCAUAUUUGGACAAAUUUGAGACAAUUAAUAUGGGACGGAGGGAGUAUAUU